UUUUUUUAACUGUAUAAUGUCCCUCAAGUUAUGGCAGUGUACCUUGUGCCACUGAAUUUCCAAAGUGUACCAAUUUUUUUUUUACUGUGCUUCAAAUAAAUAGAAAAAAUAGUUAUAAUAUUGAUCUUCAACUUUGCCAUUCAUGCUUCUAUGCACAUUAGGCUAGGUAUUCCACUUUGAAAGCAUGAGCGUGUCUAGGCCUUCGAAUGGCACAUGCCAUUUCUGGGAAAUGGAUCUGUAGGCUAAGUAUUGCUUUCUACAAAUAAGUACCCCCUUGUUUUAAAAAGAAGAAAUGCAUAUUGAAGUAGUUUCAUGAUUUGAUUUGUUUGGCAUUCUAGGAAGCAAGCUGGUGCUAAGUAUUUUUAAAUGGUUACAUAAGCAAGCUGAACUGUAAAUCUUCCUUCAGGAAUGUGUAUUAAGAUUAUGGAAUGGGUGAAAGACUAUUGGUAGGGGGAGAAAGUGGGUAUGACUAAAUGGAUCUUUAUGGCCCUAUGAUCUAUCCUUUCCUUGAAAGUUUCUGAAGAAAAAGUGGAAAGAUCAUUCUGUUGCAUUCCUCCAUUCUUGUUUUUAAAAGAACAAGUCCCAAGCCCUACAAAUGGCUUGUAUUGAACUUUCACAUUUGAAUUAAAGAUUGUUAAACAUGAAGUCUUUUCAUGUAUUACUUCAAGCGAUUUAUGAAGAUGGGGUUUAGUUUGAAAAAUGCAACUCGAAAGUAAGAAGCGUAGUAACCAUAAAGUAGGUUUAGCUAUGUAUGCAUUUGUACUCUGUAACUUUUAUAUCUCCUUGUGCUACUGCUGGUGGGCAAAAUCUGUAGGACUAUAAAAAUCUACUUGUUCUCUUGUCUAAGUAAACUAGUGGUGACUGUUAAUGACAAAUAGGGUUGCAGAUAACGAUUCUUACUGUAAAAUAUUUAACUUGUGUUUCCAUAGUUUACUUUCGAUGUAGCACUAAAUCUGGAGAGAGUUGCCUAUGCUACACAGUACAAAUAGCCCUUCCUCCCACCAUAAAGUGUUGGAGUGUUUCGAUGGUGUUGUCAGUUGAUUGUCAACUUCAUUGAAUCUCCUUCCAUUAGGAUAAGACAUUUUGACUUAAUAUUCAAGUAGAUUUAGUUACUGUUGUCUGUUAGUACAACGGGAACCUGUUUUCCCAGUGCAUAUAUGUUAGCAGAGGAACAACUUCCUAAAAUUAGGUAAAGUAAUUGAACGGUUUGGCUUUGUUCUUAGUUAUGUUUCCAUUCAAAUUUGUACAUUACAGAACUCUUACUAUGGAAUGUGUCUUCCUCCUUUUCACCUCUGUUCUUGGUGCUAAUUGGCAAAAGUAAAAUUCUAAAUCAAAUCUUGGUUAAAAUGCUGGUUUAGUAUUGUGCCUGAGUACAAAGGGAAACCUAUUGUUGAAACAAUUGAGCACUUUCUGCAUAGGAAACUGGAUAAUACUAAAAGUAAAACACUAGUGGAGUAUAAAGGCAUGUCACCCAGUUAUGGUGGUGUGACUGACAGGUACAUGGUGUGCUAAUUAAGGAAGAGAAUCUCCUUAGAAAAUGCUCAUUAUUUCUUCACCAAGACACUUGGAAAUCGGUAGUAGUUCUACCAUAAUUCUAUCAAUGAGGAAGUUUUGUCCUAAGUCAUCAACUGGUGAUAUGUAUGAGGUUUUCUGUAUGGAAACAAGGGUCUGGAUUUGAAAGGAAUCCAUUACAAGUUGAUUGAAUUGUAUGGUAGGGACUCCACUAAUCAUAAAAUAAGGGGUGUUCAUGGGACACCCACAGAGGGUGAACUUGAAUGUGUGUGGGCGGGGGCUGGUGGGGAAGUGGGAAAAUCUGCCUAUAAAAUUAAUGUUUCAGUUUAUUUUUCAGAUUACAUGCCUUUCUUUAUAAGGGAUGCUGGCACAGACCCCUAAAAUAAGCUUUUGUUAGUACUGUACCUUUGAAGAGUGGUGAAGGAUGCUAAUGGAUAAUCUCCUGAAAGUUGUGGCUUUGAUAGCCUUACUGUGGGCUGUAGAAUUGCUAAACGUUGUUUAGCAGAUAAUGUUGCUUAGUUUCAACUAAGUUUUGCCUUUCAUCACUGAAACAGCAGUGUACCAAGGGUUGUAAGAUACUCAAAUAGACUUUCAAUAAGUCUUGCAAUGCAUAUGAUAGUUUUUAGACUAAUGUGAAUUUAAAUCAUCUUAAAAAGGAAUUUCCUAAAAGCUGAUAAUGAAAUGUGGGGUGGGAAAGGGAAUGUAGUACUUUUGAAGUAUUUUAGCCAUUUUUCUCAUUUAAAGAAACCACCUGCCCCCAUUUCCUCUUCUCCACUUUCUUUCAUAAUUUUAAGAGGAACACUGAUCCGUUUUAAGCUUAUUACUCCUAAUCUUUAAAAACUGCGUUCUCUAAGAGACCCUAGUGUAUUUAAUUAGGUACCUUAUAAGAUUAACCCAAUGGCUCACAUUCAGUGAAACCAUAAUCCUCUUGGCUUAGAACACUAAUUAAACUCCUAAAGAAGUACUAUAAACCCCACCACUCUUUAUGUAUAGAUGUAUUAUAUCACUAAUAUAAACAGAUAAUAAUUUGGGAAAUUGUAACGUUACGCCUGUGCAAUUUUUUAUGAGUGGCAUAUUAUGGCAGACAAAAAUUUAGAUACUUGGCUUUUCUUGGGCAAGCCACUAUGUUGUGGCGGAAUGUUUUCUGGUGUUCUUGGACUGCAAUUGUGCACUAUUAAAGUAGUGGCCUGCUACAUAACUGCAUUUAGCCAGCAUUUCUGCAGUGCGUAACUGUGAGGAACGUAGUACCGCAAAUGGCAAUGGACAUUAGGACCCGGAUGUAGUAUUCCUGCUUGCUCCAAGAUUCUCAUUGCCGACUGCAUACAGGUAGGUAACAAGCAAUAUAAUCUAACUUGGUGACUUGCUAUGUACUUUUAUUCCGUGGGCAUUCUGACAUCACACUUCUGACAAUGAAAUUACAGUGCAGCACCUAACACUUGUAUGGUAAAGCUAGUUUCUAUCAAAAGUGCGUGGGUUUGGGUUUAGAGCUGUAAUUUGUCAGGCAGAAUUCAGUGCUGUUGCAGUUCUCAGAUAAAAAGUGCAAACUUGAUUCUUUGGUAUGUCUGAUUCAGUUGCGUGGUUUCCUUUAGUUGCAUUGUAACUGAAGAGAACCUGGAGCACGUCAGUGGUGUGGGGGAGAGGGAGUCAAACCAUACUUGGGAGGUAGAGCGCUUUUAGCAUCUUCACACGGACUGUAUAGCAUGCGAUACUGAGUCUCUGUUGGAGCAAACUGACCUCAUAGGUCAGGAAUAUCGAAUUCAGAAUGCAAUCUUGGUAAAUUCUGUAAGUUGAGUGAAUUAAGACUAAAAGUACAGUUUUUUUGGUAAUGUGAUUUAAAUUUUUUUUUUUAAAUGGGCUUCAUGGGAAUACCUUUGUUACUAACGUGGGCUUAGGCGGGAAUCUAAUGUGUAUAGUACAAGUUACGUGACUUGUCUAAAUAUGUCUAUGCUCUAAACCUGGGGGAAAGUGGUGUGGCAUGUUGACUUGCCUGCAGUUGCAGACAUGUUGGGAAUUGUUUCCCAAUCCUAAGACUUCGUCGUAUUCUGUAGGAUAACUGCAAAUGUUCAGAGUAGCUUUUCGAAUUUGGUUCCCUUAUUAGCUUUAGGGAUGUGAUGUUAUAUAAUCCAAAAUGUUCACCAAAAAAAAAAAAAUCUUCAGAAUCACCUUCUUUUGUUACUUAGGACUUAAGCUUUGUAAGCUUUGCAUCGACUGUUGUUCCAGACCUCAAUUCAACUUAACUUUGGUCUCCCGAGCUGGUUUUUAGCUAGUAUGCAUGAGAAACAGCUUUCAUGUAUAAUGCUUUCUGCUCUGUAACUGGAAAGUUCGGUUUACUUUGCAUAAAUGCCGGUGAAAACUCUUCAUGACUAUGAGAAUUUUCUUCCAUUGUAUCAAGAAAAAUGGCUUGCUCUUUGGCAAGCAAUUCACAAGGUGGGGACAAAUUGGUACUUUAAUAAUGUAGUCUGUUCAAGCAAAUACCUUGACUCUCCUGUUAGGUAAAAAAGCAAAUGGUGACUAGUUCAGCUCUAUAUUAAUAAUACAAUGCAGUGCAAACAUAAUGCUCAGUAUUAGUGACAAGAGAAUGUCGCUGAAUUGACAUACAACCCUGAUGGGGUUUUCCUGUGGCAUAAUUCAUUAAAUCGGUGGCCAAUGCUUGCUACCGUGAUUUAGUGAUUCGAGUGCUUAGAAAUAAAAGCUCAGUUAUAUUUCUUAACAGCCAAUAACAAUUUUGAGAGAAUGUACUUGUUACAUAAUCUGUGGACUUGAGGAACAUCACUGGGGAGGGGGGUUAAUUUUGCUUCAUUUCUGCUUAUUUCAAGAUGAAUAGGUUUUUGCACUUUCAAAUGAGAAACCUGUGACUUAAGUCGAUUCUUACUAGUUUCGAUUUGUAUGUAGCUAUAAUUUGUGAAUCUUAGUGUAGAGGAUCUUAAAAUCACUCACUCAAAAAGCUGGGAAUAAAUGGGUUGCAGUAACAACACUAUACCGAGGUGCUUGCAUUGUAUUUCAUAGUCUUUUCUUGUUACAAACCAAAAUUAUUCUUUUUAAUGAGAAUGGUCUAAGGUUCAGAGGUGUGAUGCCAGAAUGUGUUUUCGUACUGUUAGGCCCUUGGAACAGAUACCGGUGCUUUCUGAAAGAUGAAAGAAAUGGAAUGGGUGCUCUUCACACAAGGUUGCAAAACCUACAAAGAAUGCAUAAUAGUCUCAUUUUUCCCCAAGAAAAGAGAUGCGUGUGACUAGUUUUGGACUUUUAACCUUAAUGGGGGUUGCAUGUCUCCUAUUGUUAAUCAUUGUCAGCUGCAGUGACAUGAUCCACAGUCCUGCAUUUACUGCCUUUCCCUUAAUGAUUUUGGACAGGUUUGAGAGAGCCAGGAUGUUUGUUCUGGGCCUUUAUUUGGUUUUGGCUUUUGCUGAUAAUGUUUCAGUGUUCUCUGUCAGCUAGUGCAGUUCUCAAAUGGCUGCCUAUUAGGGAAAGAAUUCUGAGGAUUUGACUGCUCCUAAUCAUCUGUCAUUGCUGCUAGAUAAUGAUUGGCAAUUUUUAAGACUCAACUGUGGAAAUCUCACAGUUGGUAAACCAUCAACCAUAAAAAUGUUGCUUUUGAACACCAGUGCUGAAAAGAUUUUAUUUGGAGGGUGAAGGAGGGGGCUGGUGGAUGCAGGAUAGGAUAAUCUGGAGAAUGGGGGAGAAUGCAAAACGAUAUAGUAUCCCUUAUGGAUGGUACAUGUGCAACAGGGAGCUCUUUUUUUUAUCCCCUUGGCGCAGUAACUGAUAAUCAGGGAGGAAGAAAAACCUGGAACUUGAAUUAAGGCUGAUCUUUCUGGUUUUUGUGCACUGUGGCCCUGCCAGGCAUAUAUGGUGAAGGUGAAUGUCUUCUCCCUCAGAAAAACUCAGGUUCCUUGCUGUCCCGAAUAAGGCCUAGCUUCCCUGCCCUAACUGAAAACUCAGUGAGGACUUGGGAGGGAAAGAACCAGGCAAAUGCAGAGGAUUGCAGGAUAACAACUGCAUUGUUGUGUACUGUGGAAUGGGGAGGGCACUCCUGGAGGACUCCUGCUGCAGGUGGUCAGUCCACCUGAGAAUGGAAGACAUACUUGAAUGGGGAGCAGGGUAUGUGCUUUUAUAUGAAAAGAGAACUGAUGUUAAAACUCAUUUGGUAAGGUAAACGUUGUCACAUACCUUCACAUAAGGGAUAGUAUAUUUUGGGUUGCAGUCAAACUUGAUUGUGCUCAGACUGGUGAAAAUAGAUAGGCUUUUGUAUUUUAAAUAAGAUACAGUUUUUAUUUGAAUUGAGCUGUCUACUUUAUUACUUUACAUAAGAAUAAUUUUAGAUUUCCCCCCCCCAUCAAGUUUCUUCCUGUUUUGUUUUUUUUUAAUGCUGUAACUUGCCCCUAAUCUUUGUCUCUGGAAUUUUACUCUUUAAAUUUUGAAGUUAACUAGCAUUUUCAAACCUUUAUACCCUUGUCUUUUAUAUUAACUUUCUCUUAUUAUUCUUUAGGUAAGAAUGAUUGAUGUUGGCUGAUACUGGAGUACACACUCAAGUGGAUAAGCUCUUAGUCUCGAGAUGACAUCAUACAACGUGAGCCAAGAAGGAAAGCCACAACUUGUUAGACUGAGGAAGUAUCUUAAGAUGAGGUGAACUGUGUCCAGAAAACGAAUGAGGAAGAGGGCAAAGAGGAAUGAGCAGCCUAAUUGUUGUUAAUAAAGACAUUUUUAAAUCAGA
Non-coding RNA from Leptonychotes weddellii (Weddell seal), 6223 nucleotides. The record is from RefSeq and is a predicted model, not a curated record. Lineage: Eukaryota; Metazoa; Chordata; Mammalia; Carnivora; Phocidae.